GAUGAACGCUAGCUACAGGCUUAACACAUGCAAGUCGAACGAGAAUCUACUGAAAGAGUUUUCGGACAAUGGAAGUAGAGGAAAGUGGCGGACGGGUGAGUAACGCGUGAGGAACCUGCCUUGAAGAGGGGGACAACAGUUGGAAACGACUGCUAAUACCGCAUGAUGCAUAGGGGUCGCAUGAUUCUUAUGCCAAAGAUUUAUCGCUUCAAGAUGGCCUCGCGUCCGAUUAGCUAGUUGGCGGGGUAACGGCCCACCAAGGCGACGAUCAGUAGCCGGACUGAGAGGUUGAACGGCCACAUUGGGACUGAGAUACGGCCCAGACUCCUACGGGAGGCAGCAGUGGGGAAUAUUGGGCAAUGGGCGCAAGCCUGACCCAGCAACGCCGCGUGAAGGAAGAAGGCUUUCGGAUUGUAAACUCCUGUUGUUGAGGAAGAUAAAUGACGGUACUCAACAAGGAAGUGACGGCUAACUACGUG
RNAcentral lists this ribosomal RNA (479 nucleotides) under uncultured bacterium. Its description in RNAcentral is "bacterial SSU rRNA". It matches the Rfam family "Bacterial small subunit ribosomal RNA", at positions 28 to 507 of the family's 1533-position model. The record is from RNAcentral.